UCCAUUCGAGACAUUGCGGUCCUUUUUUCC
RNAcentral lists this non-coding RNA (30 nucleotides) under Mus musculus (house mouse). The record is from RNAcentral. Lineage: Eukaryota; Metazoa; Chordata; Mammalia; Rodentia; Muridae.